GACGAACGCUGGCGGCGUGCCUAAUACAUGCAAGUCGAGCGCAGGAAGCCGUCUGAACCCUUCGGGGGGACGACGAUGGAAUGAGCGGCGGACGGGUGAGUAACACGUAAAGAACCUGCCCAUAGGUCUGGGAUAACCACGAGAAAUCGGGGCUAAUACCGGAUGUGUCAUCGGACCGCAUGGUCCGCUGAUGAAAGGCGCUCCGGCGUCGCCCAUGGAUGGCUUUGCGGUGCAUUAGCUAGUUGGUGGGGUAACGGCCCACCAAGGCGACGAUGCAUAGCCGACCUGAGAGGGUGAUCGGCCACGCUGGGACUGAGACACGGCCCAGACUCCUACGGGAGGCAGCAGUAGGGAAUCUUCCACAAUGGACGAAAGUCUGAUGGAGCAACGCCGCGUGAACGAUGAAGGCUUUCGGGUCGUAAAGUUCUGUUGUAAGGGAAGAACAAGUGCCGCAGGCAAUGGCGGCACCUUGACGGUACCUUGCGAGAAAGCCACGGCUAACUACGUGCCAGCCGCCGCCGUAA
This 524-nucleotide ribosomal RNA is filed under the name uncultured bacterium. Its description in RNAcentral is "partial 16S ribosomal RNA". It matches the Rfam family "Bacterial small subunit ribosomal RNA", at positions 28 to 523 of the family's 1533-position model. The record is from RNAcentral.